CCGGGCCCGGGAGAUGGAGACAAACAGACGCUCAUUCACGCCUGGGCGCAAGGUUCCCCGACUUCACCCAACUAAAUUCAAGAUCCGCGGCUCUGCGUCAAUGUGUCAGUUUUCCGGCGCUAGGCAGACUCAUAGUCAAAAUGAGCCAAUUAAAUUUGGAGGCAUGCACCGGCUCCGCUUUUCGCCGCGCGAAUAGUCGGAGAUGACACCUCGGGUUCGGGCGUAACCUUCCCUUCUUCACAUUUUUUAACAACGGCUCGUCUUAUCGCUGCCAUGAAGAUGCGUGAGCCGAGCCGGAUAGUUGCUGCCUGGUCCGGUUCGCUCGGGCGGUUUUCCUGACGAGAAUGCUGCCCCUGCUCAAGAAAGCCAUCGAGAAGGAACGCAAAGCUUCGCCGGGUCGCGCCUGGCGCUACUCGUACUCGCCGGUGGCCCAGUCGGAAGCCCCCGCGGCCCCCUCCUCCCCCCCGGAAGCCCCCCCGCCCGAGCCACAAGCAGAGGCCCAGCGGCCCCGAAGGAUCAACAACUUUCGCGUUUCCACCAUGGACGAUCGCAAGGAGUUGGUGGCGAAGAACCGGUCGGGGAAGCGGAAGUUCAUCCUCCUGACGGUGAUCCCUGUCAUGAUUCUGGGGAUCGCGGCCGUGUUGUUGCUCACCUUGGGCGACGGCGAUGGCGCCGGGGACAAGGGCGCGACCCCCUCCAGGGCCCUCCCUCUCUCGGACAUCACCGAGGGCUGGUUCGACCGCUCCUCCCCCGUUUGGAACGGCACUUGGGUCUCAGACACUGAGAUCCUGAUGAAAGAUGAACAUGAAAAUCUCAUCCUUCACGAUGUGGAAGCUGCAAAGUCGACAGUUGUCCUUGAAAAUAACCCAGAUAAGCUGCUUUCAACAGGUAUCCAGUAUGAACUCUCAGCAGACAAAAGGUACAUAAUGAUCGCCACAACUUAUACCAGGGUGAGUGUCUAUACUCGAGUGUAGUGUGAAAACGCUCACUGAUUAACCAGGCUUUUAUUUGGUUAUUUUAGCUAGUAUUGUUCAGGACGUUGGUCCAUCUAUGAAAUAUUAAGUAGCAUUGAUAGACUAGCUGUUAAAGGACUUUAAAACAACUUAAAAAAACUGUUAAAAUCAGGAAACCCUUUAAAUCCUUUUUAAGCAAAAAUGUGACGUUUAUGUUAAGAAAAAAAUUAUGAAAAGAUAUUGACUUUAAAAUUUUGUUAAAUUCUAAA
RNAcentral lists this long non-coding RNA (1222 nucleotides) under Bemisia tabaci. Its description in RNAcentral is "lncRNA ENSSSA1NGG011881". Lineage: Eukaryota; Metazoa; Arthropoda; Insecta; Hemiptera; Aleyrodidae. The record is from RNAcentral.